UGGUGGAGCAACCACUUGCAUGAGCAUGAGAGGUUGUUCCCCAGGCCAUCAGACUCCAAACAGUCAUGCAACUGGAGCCUUUGAGGAUGACCCCUUCUGCCGGGGACCCUUAGGUCAGCCUCUAGAGAAGCUUUGACUGCUGUUUCCCCAAAACAGCGCCCCCUGCCAUCAGGAAGCAGUGAGAAUGCUAAAUGAUAGCUGUGUGGAUUAGGUUCAGCUUUUCACAUUGGGAAAAAUGACUGAUGGGCCCUCAGAUGAGAGUGUUGCUACCAUGUCAACAUCACAAUAGUUUCCCUCCUCCAAAAAGCACCACAACAAGCAUGAGCCACAAGACACUGGGAACAAAAGGAAUCUUUGUUAUUUUAUUCAACAGAAAGCCAUGUUGGUUCACCACAUGUAUCGCAUCCUGAUAAUGUGAAGUGAAAAAGUAGAGCCUGGAAGCCUUUGUAAGAUGACUGUGCCAGAGGAGGAAGAUAAAUAUCUCGAUGCUAUGGAGGCCUGUCAGCUCUUUGAAGUAUCUGGGCAAUAUCAAGAUUUCUACUUCAGAUGAAAAAACAAAUAGUUAUUCAUUGACCCUGAUGCUGCCAAGAAAGAG
RNAcentral lists this non-coding RNA (595 nucleotides) under Pan troglodytes (chimpanzee). The record is from RNAcentral. Lineage: Eukaryota; Metazoa; Chordata; Mammalia; Primates; Hominidae.